This 454-nucleotide ribosomal RNA is filed under the name uncultured Rikenellaceae bacterium. Its description in RNAcentral is "partial 16S ribosomal RNA". It matches the Rfam family "Bacterial small subunit ribosomal RNA", at positions 341 to 792 of the family's 1533-position model. The record is from RNAcentral. Lineage: Bacteria; Pseudomonadati; Bacteroidota; Bacteroidia; Bacteroidales; Rikenellaceae.
ACGGAAGGCAGCAGUGAGGAAUAUUGGUCAAUGGACGCAAGUCUGAACCAGCCAUGCCGCGUGCAGGAAUAAGGCCCUAUGGGUCGUAAACUGCUUUUGUGGUGGAGCAAUAAGUCGUACGUGUACGGCGAUGAGAGUACAUCACGAAUAAGCAUCGGCUAACUCCGUGCCAGCAGCCGCGGUAAUACGGAGGAUGCAAGCGUUAUCCGGAUUUAUUGGGUUUAAAGGGUGCGUAGGCUGUGGUCCAAGUCAGGGGUGAAAGCCCGGAGCUCAACUCCGGAACUGCCUUUGAUACUGGAUUGCUGGAAUACGGAUGCCGUGGGAGGAAUGAGUAGUGUAGCGGUGAAAUGUAUAGAUAUUACUCAGAACACCGAUUGCGAAGGCAUCUCACGAAUCCGUCAUUGACGCUGAGGCACGAAAGCGUGGGGAUCAAACAGGAUUAGAUACCCUGGUA